CUGACUUCCGGAGCGAUUUACGCUAUUGUUUUUACCGUUAGCUUAUUAGCUAGCUAACAGUCGUCGAUGCAUUUGUGACUGAAAUAGUUUGCUAUGCCUACGUUCAAAUGACAGCCCCGCGAAGGACGUGCUAAUGAACAUUGUUCAGUGCGUCUGUGUUCAGGUUCUUCAAAAUGUAAUGGUAUUGUGAGCUUCCGUAGUUUCCCAGUCGAUGUAGAGCUCAGGAAGCGGAGGUUGGGGGCAGAACGUCGUGACUACUUUACUGUCACCAAACGCGCAAAGGUGUGUAGUACACAUUUCGUCAAGAGUGACUUUGUUGAGGGAAAAAUUGUGUGGCGACAAUACCUAAAAAGAGGUGUUGUUCCUACAGUUUUCGAGUGGAACAGGCACAUUCAAAAGAGACCUGGUGUUUGGGAAUGAAGACUGAAACCUCCUGCGCCGACUGAGGAGGAUGAAGAACAAGGUGCGCUGCCUAUGGACUGUGCCGUCUUGAUCUGGUCCAGACAUAUGAUUACUGUGCAGUCCCCGAACAUGGCCCUACUGGCAAACCAUGAGUACAUAAGAGAAAUUGAGGAGCUUCGAGCCAAGCUGGAGAAACUGACCGCACAACCCGGCUUUGGUCUACAGCGAUUUGCUGGUUCUGACGAGGAUAUACGUUUUUACACAAGAUUUGCAAACUACACCCACCUGAUGGCCUUCUGGCACUUGAUUGAGCGGGCAGCAGAGACCAAGUUUAUAAGAGUCACAAGCACCAAUCCAUCUGAAACAAGUAUUACUUGAAGAAAACCAGUACGGGACAACUUCAUUAAAUGCAGUACUUAAUAGAGAAUGCUAUUUGAUCUUACUGUAACUGUUCAACAUUAUUUACUUUUUGUGCUAUGUACCGAAUGUAAGGACUUUAUUGUACUAAAACUGUUUUCUUUAUGUUCAAACCCUGCCAUCAAUCGACGAGUUCUUCUUGUUUAUUACUCAUCUGUCGCUGGGUCUGAAGCAGAAGGAUUUGGCCCAUCGGUUCAGGAUCCAGCAAUCGACAGUGAGACAGAUUAUCAUCGCUUGAGCCAUCUUCCUCUACUGCCUGCUUGGUUCAGCACGGAUAUGAGUGCCCAAGGAAAUAUCGACGUGCAGCUGCCACCUGAGUUCAAGGACUACAUGGAAAGAAUUACCAAAAAACUGAGCAAACUGGAAUGCUAUUUGGCCCUAAACAGAGAGAAACACUGGCAGAAUACCUGAACACUGACUGACCCAAAAUUAAGUAAAGCUUUGACUAUGUACAGACUCAGUGAGCAAAGUCUUGCUAAUGAGAAAGGCUGCCAUGGGCAGACCUGUCUCUCAAGAGAAAUAAUAUGUGCCCACAAAAUGAGGUGGAAACUGAGCUGCACUUCCUAACCUCCUGACAAAUGUAUGGCUAUAUUAGAGACACAUAAUUAUUUCCCUCAGAUUACACAGACCCACAAAGAACUUGAAAACAAAUACAAUUUUGAUAAACUCCCAUAUCUAUUGGGUGAAAUACUACAGUGUGCAAUCACAGCAGCAAGAUUUGUGACCUGUUGCCACAAGAAUAGUGCAACCAGUGAAGAAAAAACACAAUUUUAAAUACAACCCCUAUUUAUGUUUAUUUAUUUACACUUUUGUACUUUAAAUAUAACAUAUGUUUCCCAUGCCAAUAAGGCCCCUUAUAUUGAAAUGUAAUUAAAUGAAAUUGGGGAGAGAGAGACUGUCACGACUUCCUGCCCGUUUGGGUGGUGCUCGGCGGUCGUCGUCACCGUCCUAUUAGCCACUCCGAUCCCUUUUUCGUGUAUCUGUUGGUUUUGUCUAAUUGGUUUCACCUGUGUGUUGUUUAGUUAAUUAGUGUCUGUAUUUAAUGUAGGUUGUCCCGCCCUUGUUUUGUGCAGGAUUGUUUAUUUUGUCAUUUCGUUUUGUCUGUCGGUGUUUGCUGUUUGUUAUUCUCCGGUUAGUCUUUAUCCUGUGUUGGAUAUAUUCACCCUGUCUGUAUUUGGGUUGACCGUUGUUUAUUUUGUUCACCGGAGAAUAAAACUUUAUAUCGCUA
Molecule: long non-coding RNA, 2047 nt
Organism: Oncorhynchus masou masou (cherry salmon)
Lineage: Eukaryota; Metazoa; Chordata; Actinopteri; Salmoniformes; Salmonidae
Exons: 2
Source: RefSeq, a predicted model, not a curated record